CGGGGCCCCUGGGCAGCCUGUGGAUAGGCACAUGACUUUGGGACCCAUAUUCCCCUGUAGCGGAUCAGGCGCCUUCCCUUCCCAUGUUGACAAGCACGCCCGAUGGGCCCUGAUGGUUGGGGGAGGGGAUCCCGGAGAUGUCGGGGACCUUAAGGCCAGAUAGACGGGCUGGGUGACCCGGGCAGAGGGGCCCUCAGGUAUG
Molecule: non-coding RNA, 202 nt
Organism: Pelobates cultripes (western spadefoot toad)
Lineage: Eukaryota; Metazoa; Chordata; Amphibia; Anura; Pelobatidae
Source: the annotation of a GenBank genome assembly